AACGAACGCUGGCGGCGUGCUUAACACAUGCAAGUCGAACGUGAAAGGCUUCGGCCGAGUAAAGUGGCGCACGGGUGAGUAACGCGUGGGUAAUCUGCCCUUGGGCGGGGGAUAACCUCUCGAAAGGGGGCUAAUACCGCAUGAGACCACGGCUUCUCGGGGCUGUGGGAAAAGGUGGGUCGCAAGGCCUGCCACCUGAGGAUGAGCCCGCGUACCAUUAGGUUGUUGGUGGGGUAAUGGCCUACCAAGCCGAAGAUGGUUAGCUGGUCUGAGAGGACGAUCAGCCACACUGGGACUGAGACACGGCCCAGACUCCUACGGGAGGCAGCAGUGGGGAAUAUUGCGCAAUGGGGGAAACCCUGACGCAGCAACGCCGCGUGUGUGAAGAAGGCCUUCGGGUCGUAAAGCACUGUUGGGAGGAACGAGCCGCUCGUGGGGAAGUAUCUGCGAGCCCGACGGUACCUCCUGAGGAAGCACCGGCUAACUCCGUG
RNAcentral lists this ribosomal RNA (491 nucleotides) under uncultured bacterium. RNAcentral's name for it is "bacterial SSU rRNA". It matches the Rfam family "Bacterial small subunit ribosomal RNA", at positions 28 to 507 of the family's 1533-position model. The record is from RNAcentral.